Molecule: non-coding RNA, 133 nt
Organism: Arvicanthis niloticus (Nile rat)
Lineage: Eukaryota; Metazoa; Chordata; Mammalia; Rodentia; Muridae
Source: RefSeq, a predicted model, not a curated record
GCAUGGCUGAAUACUGUGUUCUUUAAUCAGUAAUUUACACAGCCAGACACCAUGCAAAAGUAAAGUCUUCCUUUAAGAUAGCAGUCGAUAUGCUAUGUUGUAUGGUAUGUCAUUAUUAAAAGUGAAUACAAAU